UUUUUUUUUUUUUUUUAAGAUUUUGUACUGUGACAGAGUUAAUAAUCUGUGAAAGCUUCUGGACUGCUUUGUUUUGUUGGGUUUUUUAUCUGUCCAGUAUUGAUUUAGUACUUGUCAAGCCUCUCAAUUCUCAUGAUACAAAGAAAAUGUACCAUGGCUUUUCAGAACACAGAUUUGUAUUCUCACUUCUUUCUGGAGUUAUUUAUCUUCUCUUUUUGAACACGUGUCCAGUAACAUUUUUUUCUCCAAUGCUUAGACUAAAAGGCUUUUAAGAGGCAAGAGCUGCAAACCCGACCUUAUUCACCUGCCUGUCCCAGAGUUCAAGCACAGGCAGCGACAGGGAAGUUUGGCCACACUGUGCCUGUGUUUCCAGGCAACCGUCAUGUUAAUCAGGAGCAUCCAACUGUGCUUGAUUAUAUCUAGUAUUUGAAGCAGAAAAGGAACAUAAAGUAGUUACUCCAGGGAGCAGACUUGAAAAGUUUUAUUUGGAUUCCUGGCUUCAGCUGCUUUCUAGCUAGCUGAGGCUUACACUUAAUUACAGUUUCUACAUGUGUGGAUACCUUGAUUGUCUGCUGUCAGUCAACAAAAUCCAUGUACUUUCCUGCUUCACAGCCUGUGAACCUCACAAACACAUCAGAUUUGAAUCCUGGGCAUUGAGACUGUAAAGCAGAGUGCUUAUCUUCCAUAUUUUCAUAAUGAAAGCUCCCAAGCACAGGAUACUGUGGCAGAUUUACAGCCUUCGAGCAGCAGAACUGACAGGCAUUUUAAUAUGAAAGGAGAUAUGAUGUCUUUAAUGUACUGUGAUGUCACUUCUAACAAGAAAUCUUGAUUUUAAAUGAAAAUGGUUUUCCGGAGCCUCUCAACCAUCAUGUUCUCCUAACCAGGGUGCUGGAGCACAGAAACAGCGACAGAGACAGCAAGCUACCAAGAGAAUCCAGUGUUGACAUCUUUUCUUGGCAGUGCCUAUGGUUUCAUUUGCUCUUGGCCUGGACAGCCAGACAACAUCCCUGCUGGACCAGGACAGUCAGAUGUACCUAAACAAUCUGCACUUAUCAGUUCGAGUCUCAUGUAAUUCUGAGACCAGUCUCCCACAUACCAAUACCAAUGGGAUUUUUCCUGCUGGAUUAAGCAGAAAGAGGAAUACCAGCUGAAAUCUAGAAAGACCAUGAGAGGAGGGGUUUUCCCACAUAAUUUGUAAUUAAUUAUGGUACUCACUGCUACAGGAUUUUAUGAAUCUCACUUUUUUGUAUAUAUUGAAAAUAUAAUCAGACAGCUUAAUGGGAGUAAAACCUAUCAGGGACUUUCAAAUAUGCAGACAGUAACUCUUAAAAAAUUCUUAUAAAAGCUAUCCCCAAAUCUUAGAUCACUAGAAACUAUGGGACUGUACUGAGGAUGUGUCACUGCAUGUUUGCCAUUUCUUAUUCACUUCCUUAGGCAUUUGCUGUUGGCUUCUCCUGGAGGAAUGGUACCUGGUGGCCUGGACCUUUGAUUUGAUCACUCUGAGUAGUCUGAGAUAUGUGAACAAAAAAUGUGACUUUGACUCAAAGGUUGUAUUCUAUGAUCACUUUUGACAAUUAUAAGCACAAGGAAUGUGGUCAUAUUUUCAAAUUCUGGGGUAAAAUAUAUGGACACCUAAAAUAUAUGGACACCUAUGGAUCUGAAACUUUUGCAUUAUUUGAGGGAAUACUUUGUUAGAAUAACAGCCUGAAGUGCCAGGAGCAGAGGAGAAGUAUUAUAGGUUAGGCCUACAUCCUGCAUAGAAGCUCAUCUUAAAUGGUCACUCUCUCUCCAUUUAGGGCAACUAUAAAAUCAAGCUAAUAAUGUUUAUACUUAGUUUUGGAAGGAGCUUUGAGAGCUAGAAAUAAAUGCUUACUCUGCAAAUGCAAAGAUUUAUUUUUUUACAUGGAGUGAUUGCAACUGAGUAAAAAUGGGAAGAGGAUCAAAAACAUUUGGAAGACUCAAGAUCACAAAUGACUGUCAGUGACACUAAUUUUCCUAAUGUUUUAGGUGCUUUUGUAUGUCCUCUAGGGAGGCUAAGAUGCAUCCAAUAAAAAGCUCUGGCAUUAUGUGCCCUAACUUCUGCCCGGGACCUGACGUGCAGUUCCAAACCUUACGUUAGGUACAGCAUUUCUGGCUGUGCAAAUAUUGAACACAUUUUGCCAACUGGAGAGCAAUGGAGUUGUCUCAGAACACUGAGUGUGAAGGCAAGAACCCUCUGCUAGGUGGAAAUUAAUUUUUCAGAGGAGCAAAGGCGUUGCUGUUAGGCAGAUUUUGGUGGCAUUUAAAAAUACAUCUCAUUGUAGGCAGCUACUUCUUCAUUUUGGGGAGAUUUAUCCCUAAAACCUCAGAUAUAAAAGAGUUGAGAUCUUUGCAAAACCCCAUUUUAUAAUAAACGCUGUGUAAUAAAUACUGACUCUGGCUUUAAAUUUAAAUGGAAUAAUUUAUUGCUAGAUUUGACUAUUCCCCUUGAAGAUGUCCAAAGUUAAAACUGGGUAUCUUCAAGGCCUGUUAGGACAAAGAUGGCUGAGGAGAAAGCUAGCUGUAAGCCAGCAAAGCUGACCACAGCAAGGGAGAAAUGUGAUGAUUACACCUGGGCCAGCCCCUGCUGCCCUGACUCCAGGCUCUUCUACGGAAAGAUGUGUAAGGACAGGGCGAAGAUUUUGCAGAAGCUGAGACACUGAAACUCAGCAGCCAGGGAUCACCCCUGUGGAAGCAUCUGGGAACAAGCAAGCUCAUCUAGCCACAAAAUCAAUCUUUAGUUAAAAUCCAUAAUCUUUCCAUAGGUUUUUAAGGCCAAUACAGUAAUGGGGUCCAAGAACUGGCUGUAAGAGUACAAUGCUUUAAUAGAGAGGUCCAGUUAAAGUUCCCUGGAAGCCUGGCACUGCCUCAUGGAAUGGUUAAUCCAUCUUCCCUCUCUGCCUCUGCUGUUCCUGCACAUUUGAACUGUCAUAUCCUUUCUCCAUUAUGUAAUAGCCUAGAGGUCACACAUGUUCCUUUGCUUUGAAUAAUACAUCUCUAUGAAGCCUCAGUAUCUCUAUUUGAAAAUUUAUUUCUUUCAUUUUAAUAUUUUAUCAAUUUUGCCCUAAAUGGAUGACCUUAACUGGUUGCAGUUCAUUUCAUUUCUUCUCUGCUUAAAUAUUUUAAAGGUUCCAGAGUACAAACAUCAUUCAUGCAGUGUGUAACAAAAA
Molecule: long non-coding RNA, 3188 nt
Organism: Taeniopygia guttata (zebra finch)
Lineage: Eukaryota; Metazoa; Chordata; Aves; Passeriformes; Estrildidae
Source: Ensembl